AAGCAAUAGUGAUGACACAUGUGACGUCUGUAUGUAGUUUCUACUACUACAUGAUGACAGCAGUCCCUCUAAGCUGACAUUGCCU
Small nucleolar RNA from Bufo bufo (common toad), 85 nucleotides. RefSeq annotates it as small nucleolar RNA SNORD127. The transcript has a single exon. The record is from RefSeq and is a predicted model, not a curated record. NCBI's taxonomy places the organism in Eukaryota, Metazoa, Chordata, Amphibia, Anura, Bufonidae.